ACCUAAUAAUAAAAGGACAGUCGGUAAUUUUCAAUUGAUUAGACUUGCUCAGUUCUUAAAACAGUCGGGAGAUGUUGCCACGUGUCUACUUUGUGCCAUAAAGAAUCAAAGAUGUCUGUCACGUAUGACUUCAGUCCAAGAUCCGUAUAGUCCUUGGGCCGACGCGACUAGGAUAGAAAUUUUCUUUCAUUAUGAGAAAUGUUUGAGUGGAUUUUACGAUCGCCUGUGUGCGCGUCGUCGACGAAAAAUGCGGAAUUUUCAUGGUCACCGCAUCUAGUAACGCGUGCGCAUUUAGAAUAUUCACGUAUCUCAAAGAAUUAUAGCCAUCGCCUAAUAGAUUCGGCCUAAUCUCAACAGUAUCUCGUUGAUUUCUCCAGUGAAGUUCUAUUGUUUUCGUAUAUUAAGAAGUUGCACGAUAUUUUACAUCGAAAAUGUCUGAUGACACGAGUGUACGCGUCGCUGUACGAAUAAGGCCUCAGGUAGCACGUGAAGUAAUUGAUAUGUGUAGAAUAUGUACACAAGUACCUCCAGGAGAACCCCAGGUCUUUCUUGGACCAGACAAGGCCUUUACAUAUGAUUAUGUUUUUGAUACUUGUGUUGGGCAAUGCACAAUUUAUGAAACGUGUGUUGCACGCCUAGUAGAAGGUGCAUUAGAUGGAUAUAAUGCAACUGUACUUGCUUAUGGCCAGACUGGAUCUGGUAAAACUUACACCAUGGGCACUGGAUUUGAUGUAGAAGUUGAUGAAGAUGUGGUUGGAAUUAUCCCCAGAGCUAUUAGACAUUUAUUUAAUGGAAUUGCAGAGAAACAGCAACGUGCCAGAGAGUCUGCACAAAUGCCUCCAGAAUUUAAGGUUACUGCUCAGUUUUUGGAAUUGUACAAUGAGGAUUUGAAAGAUUUACUAGAACCUGGUGGACCUAGAGGUGGUGCUCGUAUUCAUGAAGAUACCUCUGGUAACAUUCAUUUAGCUGGAGUGGAACCACGAAUUGUAACUAGUCCAGAACAGGCACUAGAAUAUUUGCGAUUGGGAGCACUGUCACGUACAACUGGAUCUACUCAAAUGAAUACUCAAUCAUCAAGAUCACACGCAAUAUUCACGUUACAUAUAAAGCAACAGAGAUACAUAAAAGUUGAAGAUCCAGAUGCUGAUGUUGAUACAAGUGGCACAGAGCCUGCAAGUGAAUUUGAAACUUUAACUGCAAAAUUUCAUUUUGUAGAUUUAGCUGGUUCAGAAAGGCUAAAGAGAACUGGUGCAACUGGAGAUAGAGCAAAGGAGGGAAUAUCUAUAAAUUGUGGAUUGUUGGCUUUGGGUAAUGUAAUUUCUGCACUUGGAGACAAAGCAAAAAAAGCUUUACAUGUACCAUAUAGGGAUUCAAAAUUAACUAGAUUGCUUCAAGAUUCACUAGGAGGAAACAGUCAAACUGUUAUGAUAGCUUGUGUCUCACCAAGUGAUAGAGAUUUUAUGGAAACUCUGAGUACCCUAAAAUAUGCGAAUAGAGCUAGGAAUAUCAAAAACAAAGUUACAGUUAAUCAAGAUAAGAGCUCAAGAACAAUUGCUUCUCUUCGAAGAGAAAUACAGCAACUUCAGUUAGAGUUGAUGGAAUAUAGACAAGGCAAAAGAGUUGUUGGUGAAGAUGGUGUAAAUGAUGCUUGGCAUGAAAAUCAAAUGUUAAAUAGUGAGCUACAAAGUCUUCGUACAAGAGUGAAAGCUCUUUCAGAAACAGUUGAAGCACUGACUGCAAAGAAUGUUCUUCUGCUGGCAGAGAAAGCUGCUGGUCAGUGGGUAUCAACAGGUGGAAAUAGUGAAGUAACAAGUUUAGUUCAAGGAUAUGUUCAAGAGAUAGAAGAAUUGAGAGCUCGGCUUUUAGAAGCAGAAGCUAUGUAUCAACAGUUAAAAAAACGACAGAUACAGGUAAAUGCAGCAAAUCCUUAUGGUGAUUCUGGAUACAUAUGUCCUAGCGAUUCUGUGUCAAUAUUAAAUGAUGCUAAGAAAGAGGUACAAAAAGAAAUUGAAGCGUUAACGGCAUUGAGAGAACAACAUGCACAUGCUACUAGUACUGCGAAUAAAACAGGAGAAGAAGAAGGCGAUGAUACAGAAAUUGGUCAGGACUCUGUAAGUGAAGACGAUUCGGAUGAUGAUUCUGAUAGAAAAGAAGAGGACGAAGAAGAAGAAGCUAUGGGUCGUGAAUUAGAAGCGUUAACAUCCGAUAUUGACGUGAAGCAGCGAUUAAUACAAGAACUUGAACUUUCACAACGGCGCUUACAAACAAUGAAACAACAUUAUGAAGAUAAGCUUGCUCAGUUACAAGCUCGUAUUAAGGAUACUCAGGAAGAAAGAGACAAGGUGUUACACUCCUUGCAACAGCAACCAACUCCUCCAACUGAGAAAGUAAAAAAAUUACGCGACGAGUACGAAAAGAAACUUUCUGCAAUGCAAAAGGAAAUGCAACUUUUAAAAUCUGCAAAAAAAGAGCAUGCAAGGUUGCUUAAGAACCAAUCUCAAAAUGAAAACCGAUUAAGAGGAUUACGAAAUGAACUAGCAGAGAUGAAAAGAGCAAAAGUGAAACUUCUAAAUAAAAUGCGCGAGGAAGCGCAAAGACAUAAAGAAAAUGAACUGAGACGAAAUAGAGAAAUAGCACAGUUGCGAAAAGAAAGUAGGAAAAACGCAAAUAUGAUUCGAACGCUUGAAGCGGAUAAAAGAAUGAAGGAAGUGGUACUUAGACGCAAACAAGAAGAAGUAUCGGCAUUACGAAAACGGGACAGAGGUCUCAGUCAGAAAGUUGCUGGCAGAGCACCACCUAAACCAAUCAAUCCAAAAGCAUUGAAGCAAAGGUGGCAAACGUUUGAAAGAACUAUUGCCAAGCAAGCAUUGGCUAAACAGGCAGCUGCAGAAACGGAGAGAGAAAUGGAAAGACUUCUUCAAGAACGGGAAGAGUUAGGUAGGGAACUAGAAAAGCUUCAGAAACACAGAAAUGCUAUAGCAAGUUCAAGAGGAGAUACAGCUGAUAUCGACGAAGAAAUUGAUAAUGUCAGAAGUAAAAUCAGUUACCUGCAGGAUAGUAUUGCGGAAUGUCAACGUGAUAUGGUAGAAAUGGGUGACGGAGAAGCUGAAGGUGAACCUGGUGUUGAAGCUCUUAUAUCAACAAUUCAAUCAGUAGAUGAAGCUCAAUAUUUAUUACAAAGGAUGCUAGCAUUUACCGUGGAACAAAGCUGCGUAGCCGCUCAAAAACAACUUGAAGUUCGUGAUAUGGAAUCGCGAUUAAAUCAAGUUGCACAAGAAAGUGAUGUGCAACAUCAAUUAUUAGAGCACGUAUUACGGGACAGAGAUCUUUUGUCUCUUACAAAUAAUCAUCAUAAUACAUUGAAUUAUAGUCCUCCAAGUUCAAGGAGUUCAUCGCCGGAAAAUGAAAAUUAUAAUCAAGUUAUAAUUGGGGAAGAAAAACAACGUAAUAAUAAAGUGAGAAGGAGAACUACGCAACCCCAAGAACUUCUUUAUGGAGUUCAAGCCAGUCAGGAUAAUUUAAAGGCAGAGGAUCAAAGUCAAAGUCAUAAUCAUCCACUCACUAGAGUACCUAGUGCUCCAGGUAGUUUAAAAGGUUUAGUAUUAACAAGAAGUCAGCAUAGCGGUAUAGCUGGUGGAUCUCCGACUCUAAGUCGACGCGAUAGUACAUCUCCAAGGCCAUUGCGGCGACCGCUACAUCCAGGUGGAGGCUCCAUGGAACAGGUAGCACAUACAGAUGUGUCAUCACCACCUGGAUCACCAACCACGUAUCGACGAUUCAACAGUCGAGAAGAAAACGUUUUCUCUAGACUAACUGCAAGCAGACAACCAGCAUCAACAGACCCGCAGCCUAUGAAAGGAAUUAUUUCUCAAUAUCAAGGCAAGAUACAACCACGAGCGGUUUUACAUUGUUCUCACGUAGCUGAAGGACAUAGUAAAGCUGUUUUGACAAUGUGUGCAACUUCAGAUUUACUAUUUAGUGGUUCGAAAGAUCGAACCGUGAAAGUAUGGGAUUUAGGAACAGGAAUUGAAAAUCUCACAUUGACUGGUCAUCCAAAUAACGUCGUAGCAGUGAAAUAUUCUCCACUGCAUGAUUUAUUAUUCAGCGUUUCUUCAGCCUACGUGAAAGUUUGGGAUUUGAGGGCAGCCAACAGUUGUAUAAAAACUUUAUAUUCAUCCGGUCAAGUACAGAGUGGACCGAUCACGUUGUCGACUCCAUCUAGGAUGCUACAACUUCCCGUUGGUGAAACAACCAUAAAUGAUUUAGUACUAAGCAUGGAUGAACAAGAAUUAUAUACUGCAUCCAGCGAUAAAGUUAGAAUAUGGGAUCUACGUAAAUUAACGUGUACUGGACGAUUAAGUACACCGCACACGGCGGCAGUAAUGUGUCUGGCCGUCGCAGAGGAUGGUAAAGUAAUAACAGGCAGUAAAGAUCAUUUGGUAUCCCUCGUUGAACCGAAUACAUCCGGUCAAUCGGUCAGCCUGGCACCACCGCAUUAUGACGGUGUACAGUGUUUAGCAACAUGUGACACUACACUGUUUUCUGGCUCAAGGGACAUGUGUAUUAAACGGUGGGAUCUAAGUAGAAUGGAAUUAGUCCAGUCUCUGAAUAAUGCACACAAAGAUUGGAUUUUGGGUUUGUGUAUGAUAAACAAUGGUUCUGUAAUGAUAUCAGGUUGUCGAGGUGGAAUUUUGAAGGCGUGGACUGUACCAAAGGAUCAAGGAGAAUGUAGCCCAAUAGGGGAAGUGAGAGCACAUGGUUCUGCUAUUAAUGCUGUAAUAACUAAUCAACAACACAUUUUUACUGCAAGCAACUCUGGGGAGAUCAAGCUGUGGCGUAUUCCCGAUUCCUCAUUAUCCAUGUCUAUUUCCACAGUUUCUCUUUAACUUAUUUUUCUACUUUGCUGCAUAUUAUUUUUUUGCAUUUAUAGAUUGUUGAUGUGGUAAUGCGCAUGCUUGUCUGAACACACUUUGGCUGUUACUCAAGAGUGUUUGGACAUGUCUUAUAAAAAUCUGACAGUAAUGUAAUUAAACAAAAUUCUAACUCUUUAACAAGUAAUUGUUAAUAAUUAACAGUGUAUUUAUGUAUUUAUCUGUUUAGCAUAUUGUCAAAAUUAUUUUUCACUAACAUAGAAAACAUUCAUUUUUUUAUGCUUCAAAUACUAUACAAUGUCAUUAAAGUUAUUCGGAUUUAAUGAAAAUCGGAAAUGCGCUUUAAAUUACUUAUAUCACAAGUUAGACUGAUACAUUUCCUGUUUAAAACGACAUGAAAAAUAUUUGAUGAUAUUUUUGAAGUUUUGAUGUGACGGAACGGUGAAGCUGUGGAACUACUAUAAGAGAGAUGCAAGAACUUUCCAGAG
Molecule: unclassified non-coding RNA, 5359 nt
Organism: Megachile rotundata (alfalfa leafcutting bee)
Lineage: Eukaryota; Metazoa; Arthropoda; Insecta; Hymenoptera; Megachilidae
Source: RefSeq, a predicted model, not a curated record